This 722-nucleotide small RNA is filed under the name Pan troglodytes (chimpanzee). Its description in RNAcentral is "retained intron". Lineage: Eukaryota; Metazoa; Chordata; Mammalia; Primates; Hominidae. The record is from RNAcentral.
UCUGCCUCACCCCUCGGCUCCCCCAGGAGGAUGUUCCCCAGCUAUAAGGUAAAAGUCACAGGCAUGAACCCCAAGACCAAGUACAUCCUGCUGAUUGACAUUGUCCCUGCCGAUGACCAUCGCUACAAGUUCUGUGACAACAAAUGGAUGGUGGCAGGGAAGGCUGAGCCAGCCAUGCCAGGAAGGCUGUAUGUCCACCCGGAUUCUCCUGCCACAGGAGCCCACUGGAUGCGGCAGCUGGUCUCCUUCCAGAAGCUGAAGCUGACAAACAACCACCUGGACCCCUUUGGCCAUAUCAUCCUCAACUCUAUGCACAAGUACCAGCCACGGCUCCACAUCGUUAAGGCUGAUGAGAACAAUGCUUUCGGCUCCAAAAACACUGCUUUCUGCACCCACGUGUUCCCAGAGACCUCCUUCAUCUCUGUGACCUCCUACCAGAAUCACAAGAUCACCCAGCUGAAAAUUGAGAACAACCCUUUUGCCAAGGGAUUCCGGGGCAGUGAUGACAGUGACCUGCGUGUGGCCCGACUGCAGAGCAAAGAAUACCCCGUGAUUUCCAAAAGCAUCAUGAGGCAGAGGCUCAUCUCCCCCCAGCUCUCAGCCACACCAGAUGUGGGCCCCCUGCUCGGCACCCACCAGGCACUCCAGCACUACCAGCACGAGAACGGGGCACACUCACAGCUCGCGGAGCCGCAGGACCUGCCCCUCAGCACCUUUCCCAC